This is a non-coding RNA of Arachis ipaensis, 1600 nucleotides long. The record is from RefSeq and is a predicted model, not a curated record. Lineage: Eukaryota; Viridiplantae; Streptophyta; Magnoliopsida; Fabales; Fabaceae.
UGCAUUUGAAGUGGUAAAAUCUAGUCAAUAUUGGUUUCUAAGCCAAAAUUAAGUCUCCCAAAUCAAAAGAUGAGUCUGAAUCUCUUAAAUUUACUCAAAAGAAUCUGAUUAACAAGGUUUGCAUGGAAGAAGCCCUGAACAUAAUCUUGACCUGUACAAUUUGUUUGGAAGUUUUUCUUAUUACCUAGAACUAUGAUAGGUCUAUAGUUUUUACUGCAACAUUUUCUCAGGCCUUGGCCAAUAUUGGAGUAGUUUAAAUCAUUUUGACUGGUAUAUGAUCAAAACUGAAUCAUGAUAUAUUCGAUUCCAGAUAUAUACUAAUUCGGAACUUUCAUUGAGGUAUUGCUCCCCUCCACUGCUUCAAAGCAAUAAAAUGUCAAUAAAGAAUUAGUGACUGCACCUGUAUGUACUAUAAGAAAGUCAAGCAGGUUGCAAGUUUCUUAUAUUUGCGCAUCAUCAGCCAAUCAUAGAUGCGAUACAUGAGUGGCUUCUUAAGAAAAAAGUGGGUUGCAUCUGGAUUGAUGGAGGUACACCCAGUGCAUGGUGCAUGAAGGCAACAAUUGGUUACAGAUUUUUAGGAAAAGGAUUAUAUCAAAGCGGCUGUGCUAUCCAUUAAAGCUGGGGGAGUUGGAUUAACUUUAACUGCUGCAAGCUUUGCAGAACAAUCCUGGACUCCAGGUGACCUUAUUCAGGUCAAAGAUCGUGCUCAUAGAAUUGGCCUGGUAUUCUCACACUCAUUAAGUAGAAAGGAGAGAGUUGUUACUAGUUGCAUGACAACAUUAAGAAAACAGAUAAUCUCAAAUGAAAAGAACUCUCACAUCUAAAUUUUUGAGUAGCAAAGACAUGUGCUCUUCUGUUUUUUUGACUAGUUAGUUCUUGUUUGCAGGUCUCAUCAGUAAAUAUAUACUAAUUGUUGGCAAAUGAUACGGUUCACGACAUCAUAUGAUCGAAAUUUUUACAUCUUAGGGAUGUGGUGUAAUUCAAACCGGAUAAUUUGGGGGCAGAUGUUAGAUGGCCAUGAGAACACCUUAGUUGUGCCAAAUAAUCAGCCAUUGAGUAGCCCUGCAAAGCAUACUACUAUUGAGCAUAGCCCUUCAAGGCAGAGAACUCUUGACCAGUUUGUUAGAAGAUGUGAUAACGUGGAUAGGUCAGAAGUCGGAACAUCAGCCUGAACCGAAACGGCCCUGUCAGUCAUGACUUGCAAGAUGCAAAAUGGAUUUCCAUUUUCACAGAUACGUGGCCAGGGGCAAGUGAAUUGGAACUUAAAUGUUUAUGUCUACAUGCAGAACCAGAUGUGCUUACAUGGGGAAUUCACCUUUGAUGACUCAAAUGCCUUUUGAAGCUGAAAUUCAUUGUACAACAAAUAAUAGAUUUUGAAUAGAACUGACUACACUAAACUAUGUUGCUUGUGCUGGAGAUAAUGGUUUGGUUAUGUGAAAUAUGUAUUGGAAGAAAAUGUUGAUAAAGUCACCCAUCAGAUUUUAGGUUUCCACUUCUUGUUCUUAACUUUUUGCUUCCCUGUCUUUUGUUUUAGUUUGGGGCUCUGUACAGAGUAGUACAUUAUCAUAUAUGAAUGAGACUUGUAAAUUUCUUUACUCCA